Mus musculus (house mouse) is the source of this 531-nucleotide long non-coding RNA. RefSeq annotates it as predicted gene, 42176. The record is from RefSeq and is a predicted model, not a curated record. NCBI's taxonomy places the organism in Eukaryota, Metazoa, Chordata, Mammalia, Rodentia, Muridae. The transcript is spliced from 3 exons.
CCUAUAGAAUCUCUACUGAUAUCAGUUAUCCAAAUUUUUCUGCUGUUAUUUAUGAGAAGUAUGCUUUCAGCUGCAACAAUUUUUACAUCAAAGAUCCAUCCUGCCAUCAGAGAAGAAGAUUCUGUACAUAGUUAUUCAUGCCCUCUUAAAUAUUUUGAUGGCCUUGCUACUUCCUGACAUCAAACAAGGUGGUAUAUACCAGUUCUAAGCUGCCACUGGCAACCAGGUCCUGAGGAAUUCUUACUGCCUCUUUGGAACAGUCAAAGAGUCGAUUGUAAAGUUCAUGAUCACUAUUGCUGCCUAAUGUCAUAAUGAGGUAAGUGCUGUGUGCUGCUACUGGAGAUACUUUCGAAACCUGGAAUGGUAUUUGAAACCUGAAACUAUGUUGAUUUGGGUAAUGAAUGGUUUGACCAGCAAUCAUGAUGGAUUCCAUUGUUUCUAUUACUGAAGGUGAUGGAGACCAUGAUCAUAAGGAUGAUCUCUGCUGCUGUUUAAGCAUCAAUUAUGAAAUGCAUGGUCAGAACUUCUGCC